This is a long non-coding RNA of Impatiens glandulifera, 734 nucleotides long. RefSeq lists it as uncharacterized. NCBI's taxonomy places the organism in Eukaryota, Viridiplantae, Streptophyta, Magnoliopsida, Ericales, Balsaminaceae. The record is from RefSeq and is a predicted model, not a curated record. The transcript is spliced from 3 exons.
UUCUCUUAGGGAUAAGAUUAUAUUUUGCUUUAGCCGCUUCUCUUUCUUCUUUCUCUCUUCUCUCUCGGCUUUCGUUUCUCUUUUCUUCGGCGAUCCUGCUCACGAUAACAUCUCCUAGCUCUAUGCAUACUCUCUGCAACUAUUUUUUUCGGCGUUCCCGCUUGGUUAAUCCUGCUCGCGAUAAGAUCAAAAGAAAGCUUCCCUGACAACUAUAAUCGCGGCGAAUCAUCGUGAUCAGUUAGCUGGAAUACCGAGGAACAAACUGCGUUGCUAUGCUCUUGCGCCUGUUAGGUGUAUGCCACUUAACUUAGCCAUCAAGUAUGCUGACAUGAUUUACUAUGUGGUGUUGCAGGAUGAUUUCUUGCCAAGAACAACAACACAUUUGGAAUAUAUUUUUAAAUCUAUCUUCUGGUAUUUUUAUUUCUUUUCCUCUUUACAUUUUGUUUAUAUUCCUUGAUAAUUUGGAAAGCUUUCCUUGUUUAUUAUUAGCAAUUUUUUAGAGAGAUACCUUCAUACCAGAAGGCAUAAAGCUUAGAGAUCCUAGGAGACUAUAUGUUCAUGGUAUAAUGUAUCAUAUUGUUGAAAGGAAAUUUUGCAAGUAAAUCUUUAUAAAAAGAAGAAGCAUUUUGAUCUUCUCUUCUCUUCUCAUAUUGUCUAUAUGUAUGUCUCUCAGAUGUGGAAGGUUUCCUCCAGUAGUAAUAUAUAUAUACUUGAUAUAUUCUUUGUUUUUCCUU